UUAAGUUAUUAAGGGCGCACGGUGGAUGCCUUGGCACUAGAAGCCGAUGAAGGACGUUACUAACGACGAUAUGCUUUGGGGAGCUGUAAGUAAGCUUUGAUCCAGAGAUUUCCGAAUGGGGAAACCCAGCAUGAGUUAUGUCAUGUUAUCGAUAUGUGAAUACAUAGCAUAUCAGAAGGCACACCCGGAGAACUGAAACAUCUUAGUACCCGGAGGAAGAGAAAGAAAAUUCGAUUCCCUUAGUAGCGGCGAGCGAAACGGGAAGAGCCCAAACCAAAAAGCUUGCUUGUUGGGGUUGUAGGACACUCUAUACGGAGUUACAAAGGACGACAUUAGACGAAUCAUCUGGAAAGAUGAAUCAAAGAAGGUAAUAAUCCUGUAGUCGAAAAUGUUGUCUCUCUUGAGUGGAUCCUGAGUAAGACGGAGCACGUGAAAUUCCGUCGGAAUCUGGGAGGACCAUCUCCUAAGGCUAAAUACUCUCUAGUGACCGAUAGUGAACCAGUACCGUGAGGGAAAGGUGAAAAGCACCCCGGAAGGGGAGUGAAAUAGAACCUGAAACCGUGUGCUUACAAGUAGUCAGAGCCCGUUAAUGGGUGAUGGCGUGCCUUUUGUAGAAUGAACCGGCGAGUUACGAUUUGAUGCAAGGUUAAGCAGUAAAUGUGGAGCCGUAGCGAAAGCGAGUCUGAAUAGGGCGUUUAGUAUUUGGUCGUAGACCCGAAACCAGGUGAUCUACCCUUGGUCAGGUUGAAGUUCAGGUAACACUGAAUGGAGGACCGAACCGACUUACGUUGAAAAGUGAGCGGAUGAACUGAGGGUAGCGGAGAAAUUCCAAUCGAACCUGGAGAUAGCUGGUUCUCUCCGAAAUAGCUUUAGGGCUAGCCUCAAGUGAUGAUUAUUGGAGGUAGAGCACUGUUUGGACGAGGGGCCCCUCUCGGGUUACCGAAUUCAGACAAACUCCGAAUGCCAAUUAAUUUAACUUGGGAGUCAGAACAUGGGUGAUAAGGUCCGUGUUCGAAAGGGAAACAGCCCAGACCACCAGCUAAGGUCCCAAAAUAUAUGUUAAGUGGAAAAGGAUGUGGCGUUGCCCAGACAACUAGGAUGUUGGCUUAGAAGCAGCCAUCAUUUAAAGAGUGCGUAAUAGCUCACUAGUCGAGUGACACUGCGCCGAAAAUGUACCGGGGCUAAACAUAUUACCGAAGCUGUGGAUUGUCCUUUGGACAAUGGUAGGAGAGCGUUCUAAGGGCGUUGAAGCAUGAUCGUAAGGACAUGUGGAGCGCUUAGAAGUGAGAAUGCCGGUGUGAGUAGCGAAAGACGGGUGAGAAUCCCGUCCACCGAUUGACUAAGGUUUCCAGAGGAAGGCUCGUCCGCUCUGGGUUAGUCGGGUCCUAAGCUGAGGCCGACAGGCGUAGGCGAUGGAUAACAGGUUGAUAUUCCUGUACCACCUAUAAUCGUUUUAAUCGAUGGGGGGACGCAGUAGGAUAGGCGAAGCGUGCGAUUGGAUUGCACGUCUAAGCAGUAAGGCUGAGUAUUAGGCAAAUCCGGUACUCGUUAAGGCUGAGCUGUGAUGGGGAGAAGACAUUGUGUCUUCGAGUCGUUGAUUUCACACUGCCGAGAAAAGCCUCUAGAUAGAAAAUAGGUGCCCGUACCGCAAACCGACACAGGUAGUCAAGAUGAGAAUUCUAAGGUGAGCGAGCGAACUCUCGUUAAGGAACUCGGCAAAAUGACCCCGUAACUUCGGGAGAAGGGGUGCUCUUUAGGGUUAACGCCCAGAAGAGCCGCAGUGAAUAGGCCCAAGCGACUGUUUAUCAAAAACACAGGUCUCUGCUAAACCGUAAGGUGAUGUAUAGGGGCUGACGCCUGCCCGGUGCUGGAAGGUUAAGAGGAGUGGUUAGCUUCUGCGAAGCUACGAAUCGAAGCCCCAGUAAACGGCGGCCGUAACUAUAACGGUCCUAAGGUAGCGAAAUUCCUUGUCGGGUAAGUUCCGACCCGCACGAAAGGCGUAACGAUUUGGGCACUGUCUCAACGAGAGACUCGGUGAAAUCAUAGUACCUGUGAAGAUGCAGGUUACCCGCGACAGGACGGAAAGACCCCGUGGAGCUUUACUGUAGCCUGAUAUUGAAAUUCGGCACAGCUUGUACAGGAUAGGUAGGAGCCUUUGAAACGUGAGCGCUAGCUUACGUGGAGGCGCUGGUGGGAUACUACCCUAGCUGUGUUGGCUUUCUAACCCGCACCACUUAUCGUGGUGGGAGACAGUGUCAGGCGGGCAGUUUGACUGGGGCGGUCGCCUCCUAAAAGGUAACGGAGGCGCUCAAAGGUUCCCUCAGAAUGGUUGGAAAUCAUUCAUAGAGUGUAAAGGCAUAAGGGAGCUUGACUGCGAGACCUACAAGUCGAGCAGGGUCGAAAGACGGACUUAGUGAUCCGGUGGUUCCGCAUGGAAGGGCCAUCGCUCAACGGAUAAAAGCUACCCCGGGGAUAACAGGCUUAUCUCCCCCAAGAGUUCACAUCGACGGGGAGGUUUGGCACCUCGAUGUCGGCUCAUCGCAUCCUGGGGCUGUAGUCGGUCCCAAGGGUUGGGCUGUUCGCCCAUUAAAGCGGUACGCGAGCUGGGUUCAGAACGUCGUGAGACAGUUCGGUCCCUAUCCGUCGUGGGCGUAGGAAAUUUGAGAGGAGCUGUCCUUAGUACGAGAGGACCGGGAUGGACAUACCUCUGGUGUACCAGUUGUCGUGCCAACGGCAUAGCUGGGUAGCUAUGUGUGGACGGGAUAAGUGCUGAAAGCAUCUAAGCAUGAAGCCCCCCUCAAGAUGAGAUUUCCCAACUUCGGUUAUAAGAUCCCUCAAAGAUGAUGAGGUUAAUAGGUUCGAGGUGGAAGCAUGGUGACAUGUGGAGCUGACGAAUACUAAUCGAUCGAAGACUUAAUCAA
RNAcentral lists this ribosomal RNA (2921 nucleotides) under Staphylococcus aureus M0719. RNAcentral's name for it is "bacterial LSU rRNA". It matches the Rfam family "Bacterial large subunit ribosomal RNA". Lineage: Bacteria; Bacillati; Bacillota; Bacilli; Caryophanales; Staphylococcaceae. The record is from RNAcentral.